RNAcentral lists this ribosomal RNA (468 nucleotides) under uncultured bacterium. RNAcentral's name for it is "partial 16S ribosomal RNA". It matches the Rfam family "Bacterial small subunit ribosomal RNA", at positions 28 to 507 of the family's 1533-position model. The record is from RNAcentral.
GACGAACGCUGGCGGCGUGCUAAACACAUGCAAGUCGAACGGAAGGGCCCUGCUUUUGUGGGGUGCUCGAGUGGCGAACGGGUGAGUAACACGUGAGUAACCUGCCCUUGACUUUGGGAUAACUUCAGGAAACUGGGGCUAAUACCGGAUAGGAGCUCCUGCUGCAUGGUGGGGGUUGGAAAGUUUCGGCGGUUGGGGAUGGACUCGCGGCUUAUCAGCUUGUUGGUGGGGUAGUGGCUUACCAAGGCUUUGACGGGUAGCCGGCCUGAGAGGGUGACCGGCCACAUUGGGACUGAGAUACGGCCCAGACUCCUACGGGAGGCAGCAGUGGGGAAUAUUGCACAAUGGGCGGAAGCCUGAUGCAGCAACGCCGCGUGCGGGAUGACGGCCUUCGGGUUGUAAACCGCUUUCGCCUGUGACGAAGCGUGAGUGACGGUAAUGGGUAAAGAAGCACCGGCUAACUACGUG